Molecule: ribosomal RNA, 483 nt
Filed under: uncultured bacterium
Lineage: Bacteria
Description: partial 16S ribosomal RNA
Rfam family: Bacterial small subunit ribosomal RNA
Source: RNAcentral
GACGAACGCUGGCGGCGUGCUUAACACAUGCAAGUCGAACGCUGAAGCUCAGCUUUUGUUGGGUGGAUGAGUGGCGAACGGGUGAGUAACACGUGAGUAACCUGCCCCCUUCUUUGGGAUAACGCCCGGAAACGGGUGCUAAUACUGGAUAUUCACUGGUCUUCGCAUGGGGGUUGGUGGAAAGGGUUUUUCUGGUGGGGGAUGGGCUCGCGGCCUAUCAGCUUGUUGGUGGGGUGAUGGCCUACCAAGGCUUUGACGGGUAGCCGGCCUGAGAGGGUGACCGGUCACAUUGGGACUGAGAUACGGCCCAGACGACUACGGGAGGCAGCAGUGGGGAAUAUUGCACAAUGGGCGCAAGCCUGAUGCAGCGACGCCGCGUGAGGGAUGGAGGCCUUCGGGUUGUGAACCUCUUUCGCUCAUGGUCAAGCCGCAACAAUGGUUGUGGUGAGGGUAGUGGGUAAAGAAGCGCCGGCUAACUACGUG